GCUGGCGGCGUGCCUAACACAUGCAAGUCGAACGAAGUAUGUUCUUCGGAAUAUACUUAGUGGCGGACGGGUGAGUAACGCGUGAACAAUCUGCCCUAUACAGAGGAAUAGCCUCGGGAAACCGGGAUUAAAACCGCAUGAAACUAUAGUAUCGCAUGAUACAUUAGUCAAAUUGAUUAAGAGGUAUGGGAUGAGUUCGCGUCUGAUUAGCUAGUUGGUGGGGUAAAGGCCUACCAAGGCGACGAUCAGUAGCCGGCCUGAGAGGGUGAACGGCCACACUGGAACUGAGAUACGGUCCAGACUCCUACGGGAGGCAGCAGUGGGGAAUAUUGCACAAUGGAGGAAACUCUGAUGCAGCGACGCCGCGUGAGUGAAG
Molecule: ribosomal RNA, 376 nt
Filed under: uncultured bacterium
Lineage: Bacteria
Description: bacterial SSU rRNA
Rfam family: Bacterial small subunit ribosomal RNA
Source: RNAcentral